Aptenodytes forsteri (emperor penguin) is the source of this 3106-nucleotide RNA transcript. It is a transcript of the gene named serine/threonine kinase 11, with no coding region annotated. The transcript has 11 exons. The record is from RefSeq and is a predicted model, not a curated record. Lineage: Eukaryota; Metazoa; Chordata; Aves; Sphenisciformes; Spheniscidae.
CCCCCGGGGGUCCCUUCCCUCCUGGCUCCAUCCGUAGUUUGGUUGCACUUGAAGUGCUUUAUCCCCUUUUCGCCCCUUCCCUGCUUUCCCCGGGGGCGGCCGCGGUGUCGCUUGUUUUCCUCCCCACCCCGACUGACACCCGCGGAAGGGGCGUGAAGGAGGGGGGGGAGAGCCCGGUCGAGGCUGGCAUCUCCUCGUUGACCUUCCCUUGUUGGAAAGGGAAUGGGGUGGUUUGGGUGCUGGGCAGAGAGAAUUUCUUCCUCCUGAUUGUUCCCGUUUUAAGGUGGGUCGGUAAAGCUCUGGUAGGUUUUGCGUUGUCUGACACCGGCUGACACCUGGACCAGUGGUGGUGACACAUCAUGUGCCAGGCGGAAUCCGAGUGGUUGAAGGAUGCCCCUGGGAGAUCUUGAUAGGCACCGAAGGCCUCAAACUUUUGUAGGCGUGAAAAGCAAAGACGUUAGAAUUGUUUCUGAAAACUCCUUCAAAGAAACUUGGUUCCAGCUUCCAAACGGCUGAAAAAAAAACCCCCAGCUGUACUCACACCUGGACGGUGAGGACAGCAGGGCAGAAACGCUUCGCCAGCCAUCCAGUUUGGAGUUGGUGACUAUGAUCUACUAGGGAUGGAAAGUCACGAAAGAGACUCGGCAGUUGUCUGUUUUUAUGUGGUGGCCUAAAGUCCCAGAGGAUGACCUAGCACUUAAGAAUCAAACUGGGCCAAGUUAAAGGCCAAGUUGACUUGAAAGAACCCUAACGGUGGGACCGGGUCAGAAGCAAAGCAAGUCCCAAACUGAGUGUAUCUGGUCAAAGAUAUAUAUUCUUUUUAAAAGACAUUGUGUUACUGGAGCCGGGCCUGGAUCUUUUAGCAUCCAGUUGUGCUCGAAGCAGCUCAUAGGUUUUUUGUUUUGGUUUUUUUUUAUUCAUGUUUGUACAAUCUUCUGGAUAUUUUUUUUCAAGAAGGAGUAAAAGGGAGUGUUGGAAACUAACAAACAGGAUUAAAACCCUGAGCGCUUAAGGAAAACAGGUUAAGGAACUUAAUCCAGGAUGGAUAUGCAGGAGCCACAGCAGCUGGGUAUGUUUGCAGAGAGCGAGCUGAUGUCUGUGGGGAUGGACACUUUUAUCCAUCGCAUUGACUCUACGGAGGUCAUCUACCAGCCACGGCGGAAAAGGGCCAAGCUCAUUGGCAAAUACCUGAUGGGAGACUUACUUGGAGAAGGGUCUUACGGCAAAGUCAAGGAGAUGUUGGACUCUGAAACCCUCUGUAGGAGAGCUGUGAAAAUACUGAAGAAGAAGAAGCUACGCAGAAUUCCCAAUGGGGAGGCAAAUGUGAAAAAGGAAAUUCAGCUCCUGCGACGAUUACGGCACAAAAAUGUUAUCCAGUUGGUAGAUGUAUUAUACAAUGAAGAGAAGCAGAAAAUGUAUAUGGUGAUGGAGUACUGUGUGUGUGGGAUGCAGGAAAUGCUGGACAGUGUCCCAGAAAAGAGGUUUCCAGUUUUUCAGGCUCACGGGUACUUUUGUCAGCUUAUAGACGGCUUAGAAUACUUGCACAGCCAAGGGAUUGUCCACAAGGAUAUAAAACCGGGGAACCUCCUGCUAACAACCAAUGGGACACUGAAAAUAUCUGAUUUAGGCGUAGCAGAGGCAUUGCAUCCGUUUGCAGAGGAUGACACGUGCAGAACGAGCCAAGGGUCGCCAGCAUUCCAGCCACCAGAAAUUGCCAAUGGCCUUGACACCUUUUCAGGCUUUAAAGUAGACAUCUGGUCCGCAGGGGUCACACUAUACAACAUUACAACGGGUCUAUACCCCUUUGAAGGGGAUAAUAUCUAUAAAUUAUUUGAAAACAUCGGGAAAGGUGACUACACAAUUCCAGAGGAUUGUGGUCCUCCACUCUCAGACUUAUUGAGAGGGAUGCUUGAAUACGACCCAGCCAAGAGAUUUUCAAUACAGCAGAUAAGGCAGCACAAUUGGUUUCGUAAGAAACAUGCUCAGGCAGAGGCUCUGGUGCCCAUACCUCCCAGCCCAGAAACAAAGGACAGGUGGAGAAGUAUGACGGCGGUGCCUUAUCUGGAAGAUCUGCAUGGCUACAAUGAGGAAGAAGAUGAUGACUUGUAUGACAUUGAAGAUGAUAUCAUCUACACUCAGGACUUCACAGUACCAGGACAGGUGCCUGAGGAGGAGGCAGGGCAGAACGGGCAGAGCCGCGGCAAAGGGCUGCCCAAGGCCGUGUGCAUGAACGGGACGGAGACGGGACAGCUGAGCACCAAAUCGAAGGCAGAGCGGCGGGCGAGCGCCUCUUCCAACCCCUCCCGCAAGGCCUGCUCUGCCAGCAGCAAGAUCCGCAAGCUCUCCACCUGCAAGCAGCAGUGAGGCGGGAGCCUCAGCGUCCCAGGGCCCGGGCUAGCCCGCAUCCCCCCCAUCCUCGCCCCAUCUCUGCCUCUCUCCUGGGAGUGGACUGCGCUUGCGAUCCAAAAAGAAACCAGAGGAAACCAACCAAGGAAACCGCCCCCCACCUUCCCUGCGGCCCCCCCGCUCCGGACAGCGCCAGGAACCAGAAGCUGAUGGUGGCCAGACCCCACUUACCACCUCGGAAGAUGAAAUCUCUGACUGCGAAGAUGCUGCCCCUCCUCCCCAAUCACUCUUUGCCAAUCAAGACACUGAUUCUGUUUAAUUUUGCGAUGGGAAGGGUGGGACGAGCGGGGCCGGGGUGCGGUGGGACCCGCGCCCCCCCCCGCCGCCCUCGGCCGUGCCCACCCUGGCUGUGUAGAAGUCGUGCAAAGCCAUUGCCGUGCACUUUAUGUUUUAGACUACUGUUAUAUAUUAUAUAUUUUCCUCUUUUUUUUUUGUUUAUAUUUGCGGUAUAUCUAGAGAUUCCUACACAUCGUGAUGUGUUUAAAAUAAACCAGAUGAGGAAAAAAAACAGACUUAAAAAUGCUGAGUUGUAGAUCGAGUUAGUGCUUUGGACAGAGACUUUGCAGAGGGAAGGAGCGACCCGGCCUCUUUACUCGCAUGCAAUUGGGGUGCCGUGGAGGGGCGUGGGGGGCCCUCGGCCGUGCCCUGCCUGCCCCUCCUGCCUGCCCUGCUGCCGAGUCUCCCAGGUAACAUAUCUUGG